RNAcentral lists this ribosomal RNA (390 nucleotides) under uncultured archaeon. RNAcentral's name for it is "bacterial SSU rRNA". It matches the Rfam family "Archaeal small subunit ribosomal RNA", at positions 355 to 747 of the family's 1478-position model. The record is from RNAcentral.
AUAGGCGAAAGCCUGACAGGGUUACUCUGAGUGACUUUCGCUAAGAAAGUCUUUUGGCACCUCUAAAAAGGGUGCAGAAUAAGGGGUGGGCAAGUCUGGUGUCAGCCGCCGCGGUAAUACCAGCACCCCGAGUGGUCGGGACGAUUAUUGGGCCUAAAGCAUCCGUAGCCGGUUCUGCAAGUCCCCCGUUAAAUCCAGCUGCUCAACAGAUGGGCCGCGGAGGAUACUACAGAGCUAGGAGGCAGGAGAGGCAAGCGGUACUCAGUGGGUAGGGGUAAAAUCCGUUGAUCCAUUGAAGACCACCAGUGGCGAAGGCGGCUUGCCAGAAUGCGCUCGACGGUGAGGGAUGAAAGCUGGGGGAGCAAACCGGAUUAGAUACCCCCGUAGUCC